Molecule: ribosomal RNA, 1345 nt
Filed under: uncultured bacterium
Lineage: Bacteria
Description: partial 16S ribosomal RNA
Rfam family: Bacterial small subunit ribosomal RNA
Source: RNAcentral
GACGAACGCUGGCGGCGUGCUUAACACAUGCAAGUCGAACGGAAAGGCCCUGCUUUUGUGGGGUGCUCGAGUGGCGAACGGGUGAGUAACACGUGAGUAACCUGCCCUUGACUUUGGGAUAACUUCAGGAAACUGGGGCUAAUACCGGAUAGGAGCUCCUGCUGCAUGGUGGGGGUUGGAAAGUUUCGGCGGUUGGGGAUGGACUCGCGGCUUAUCAGCUUGUUGGUGGGGUAGUGGCUUACCAAGGCUUUGACGGGUAGCCGGCCUGAGAGGGUGACCGGCCACAUUGGGACUGAGACACGGCCCAGACUCCUACGGGAGGCAGCAGUGGGGAAUAUUGCACAAUGGGCGGAAGCCUGAUGCAGCAACGCCGCGUGCGGGAUGACGGCCUUCGGGUUGUAAACCGCUUUCGCCUGUGACGAGGCGUGAGUGACGGUAAUGGGUAAAGAAGUACCGGCUAACUACGUGCCAGCAGCCGCGGUGAUACGUAGGGUGCGAGCGUUGUCCGGAUUUAUUGGGCGUAAAGGGCUCGUAGGUGGUUGAUCGCGUCGGAAGUGUAAUCUUGGGGCUUAACCCUGAGCGUGCUUUCGAUACGGGUUGACUUGAGGAAGGUAGGGGAGAAUGGAAUUCCUGGUGGAGCGGUGGAAUGCGCAGAUAUCAGGAGGAACACCAGUGGCGAAGGCGGUUCUCUGGGCCUUUCCUGACGCUGAGGAGCGAAAGCGUGGGGAGCGAACAGGCUUAGAUACCCUGGUAGUCCACGCUGUAAACGGUGGGUACUAGGUGUGGGGUCCAUUCCACGGGUUCCGUGCCGUAGCUAACGCUUUAAGUACCCCGCCUGGGGAGUACGGCCGCAAGGCUAAAACUCAAAGGAAUUGACGGGGCCCCGCACAAGCGGCGGAGCAUGCGGAUUAAUUCGAUGCAACGCGUAGAACCUUACCUGGGUUUGACAUGGAUCGGGAGUGCUCAGAGAUGGGUGUGCCUCUUUUGGGGUCGGUUCACAGGUGGUGCAUGGCUGUCGUCAGCUCGUGUCGUGAGAUGUUGGGUUAAGUCCCGCAACGAGCGCAACCCUUGUUCACUGUUGCCAGCACGUUAUGGUGGGGACUCAGUGGAGACCGCCGGGGUCAACUCGGAGGAAGGUGGGGAUGACGUCAAGUCAUCAUGCCCCUUAUGUCCAGGGCUUCACGCAUGCUACAAUGGCUGGUACAGAGAGUGGCGAGCCUGUGAGGGUGAGCGAAUCUCGGAAAGCCGGUCUCAGUUCGGAUUGGGGUCUGCAACUCGACCUCAUGAAGUCGGAGUCGCUAGUAAUCGCAGAUCAGCAACGCUGCGGUGAAUACGUUCCCGGGGC